Molecule: long non-coding RNA, 560 nt
Organism: Motacilla alba alba
Lineage: Eukaryota; Metazoa; Chordata; Aves; Passeriformes; Motacillidae
Exons: 5
Source: RefSeq, a predicted model, not a curated record
UUCUUAGAAGCAGGAGCAUGAAAGACUGUUCAGAGCUGUUUGCAUGAGAUGCUGAAAAUUAAGUGGAGCCUGACACUGCAGAAAAUGUAGAAAAGUUGGGAAGAGAAUAAUGUGAAAAGACAACCUGCAAAAAAAAUCCACACAACUGCCAAAAUGUGAUCAGAUAUUGAGGACGUCCAUGUCCCCUCCAAUCUCCUGCCUUCACUUGAGGAGUCUGAAUGAGGGCAACCCCACUGUGGAUUCAAGGCACGUGCAGAGAACAGAAGGCAAGAUCAUAUUUUGUGAUAGAACAGCUAAUAGCUGAAGAACUCUGCCAUGAAAGUCCCAAGCAGCCCAGCCUUAGCAGGGCUCUUUGGUGUGGAGAAAGGAGCUCAACGUGCUCACAACUCACUGAUUUGAACAGGAGCUGAAAAACCAGAUAACAAAACAAUCCCACUCUCGCCAUGGUCACAGCAAUAGGACUUCAGCCCAAGGCAGCUGUGCUCUGCAGCUGGCCGUGAAGAUAGAGAUUUCUCCCUUUGGAGCAAAACACUAUGAUGUUCCCAAGAGCUAUAUAGAUA